Non-coding RNA from Cordylochernes scorpioides, 75 nucleotides. The record is from the annotation of a GenBank genome assembly. NCBI's taxonomy places the organism in Eukaryota, Metazoa, Arthropoda, Arachnida, Pseudoscorpiones, Chernetidae.
UGUCUAGAGAUGGGAAUCGAACCCACAGUGUUCCGCUUAUCGUGCAGUUGCCAUGCCCACUAGGCUACCCUGGAC